Varanus komodoensis (Komodo dragon) is the source of this 158-nucleotide long non-coding RNA. RefSeq lists it as uncharacterized. Lineage: Eukaryota; Metazoa; Chordata; Lepidosauria; Squamata; Varanidae. The transcript has 3 exons. The record is from RefSeq and is a predicted model, not a curated record.
UACAAAAUGAAGCAGGGCACAGGCUGGUAGAAUUUUGUCAAGAGACUACGAUGGUCAUAGCAAACACUCUUUUCCAACAACCCAAGAGAUGACUCUACACAUGGACAUAACCAGAGGUCAACACAGGAAUCAGAUUGACUGUGUGAUCUGCUGCCAAA